Pseudophryne corroboree (corroboree frog) is the source of this 684-nucleotide long non-coding RNA. RefSeq lists it as uncharacterized. The transcript has 2 exons. Lineage: Eukaryota; Metazoa; Chordata; Amphibia; Anura; Myobatrachidae. The record is from RefSeq and is a predicted model, not a curated record.
CAGCUGGGAUCUCUCUGCAAUCUUCCAGCAUUGCCGGAUGCGGGGAGCAGACAGGUCUCCUACAUUGUGCAGAACGUUGUCAGACUCAUCCUGGGGAUCCUGGCGAGCGCGUUGCUCUGUUACUUUGUGCUGACAGCUGCGGUGUUUCCACUCAGAGGAAGAGACGAUACAUGUUCUGCAGCGCACACUGACCCAUCUCCGACUCCUGCUGUGCUCCUAGUAUAGUCAUUGAUGUAUAUUUCCUAUACAAUACGGACUUUCUUUAAUGUCUCAGCAAGUCGAACAUGAGGUGGUUCUGGGUCAGUUGUAACAAUUGGAAAAAUUUCCUGUUGUGACUCAUUUUUAUUCUCGGUAACAGUAUCUGAAUAAAGGCGUUUCCCUGCCUGAGAGAUACGUCAUCCAUGUGACGCUGCCUCUAGUGGUUUGUGCUGCUCUGUGAUGGUCAGUGACCAGUGUGUUGGCUCCCGCUCUCUCUACGACUGGCCGGAAAGGUUCUCUCCUUGGUGAUUGGCCAAUCCUCAUUGUUUUGCGAUUUGUCUCAUUCUGAAAUGUCUCUUUAAUUCUAUAUUCUUCCUGAAUACCCGUGGCUGCUUCAUCAUACCAAAUAAGAGAGUCAAAUUCCACUAUUCACAUGUCUGUUCCCACUUACAGAUAUUUAAUUAAAAAAAUAAAAAUAAUCACAAA